RNAcentral lists this ribosomal RNA (205 nucleotides) under uncultured bacterium. RNAcentral's name for it is "partial 16S ribosomal RNA". It matches the Rfam family "Bacterial small subunit ribosomal RNA", at positions 524 to 726 of the family's 1533-position model. The record is from RNAcentral.
UACGUAGGGUGCGAGCGUUGUCCGGAAUUAUUGGGCGUAAAGAGCUUGUAGGCGGUUUGUCGCGUCUGCUGUGAAAAUCCGGGGCUCAACCCCGGACUUGCAGUGGGUACGGGCAGACUAGAGUGUGGUAGGGGAGACUGGAAUUCCUGGUGUAGCGGUGAAAUGGCGCAGAUAUCAGGAGGAACACCGGUGGGCGAAGGCGGGG